RNAcentral lists this long non-coding RNA (1815 nucleotides) under Mytilus galloprovincialis (Mediterranean mussel). The record is from RNAcentral. Lineage: Eukaryota; Metazoa; Mollusca; Bivalvia; Mytilida; Mytilidae.
UUUUCAAUUUAGACUCGUUUAUAUAUAUAGGAAAAUUAGGGUUUCACACAUUUUUGUCCUAUUCAUGAGGAUACUGUACUUCCCCUCAAACCCUUAAAUAUAUAAUCCAAAGUUUGACAAUUUUGUCGCUAAGCAAAAUGGUGUUUACCAAUCUUUGCUCUACAUUUGAUUUAUAACAAGAAUAUAAAAAUAUUUCCAAUAACAAAUUCAUCAGCCUUUACAUUUGUCCACCAUCACUAGUUAUAUAAUAUAUAUCUAAUAUCCUUUUUCUCUCUUAAGUUUUCUAGCCAUUGAUGUUUUAUCACAUUACCGGUAAAUUAACAGUUCAUUCAUACUACAGACAGUCAACUCGUGUCAAUAAUAAAAAUUCUUGAAAAAUGAAGAUUUUUAAUUAGACAAACAUUCUCACUAUUUUAUUAAUUUUGUAUGGAAAUUAGGUCUUUAUGCAGAUGUUGUGAAUGCAUGUUAAUAAUAAAAAUUCUUAAAAAAAUAAAGAUCUUUAAUUUGACAUACAUUCUGACUAUCUUAUAAAUUAUAGUAAAACCAAGGUCUUUAAGUACAUUUUACAACUUACAAAAACAUUUAGCAAUAACAGGUAUCUAACUAAUCAAUGUAUUAACAUCUGCCACUCAAGACACUUCACAUAUAUAUUAUAACAUAGAUUCACCAUCUUAAAAUAUUAUAGAUUGUAUAACGAGCAAAUAUGUACUAAAAACUCAUUUGUGCAUAUCAGCUGUACCAGUGAAUAAUUAUUUAGAUUUCAAUAUGAAACAAAAAAUAAAAUCAUAAGUCUAUCACUGGCAUGACUGGAUUUGUGAAAUGGUGGUUCCCAACCCAGAGUAAAGAGGGGAAGGGGCAUCUGUUCCAGCUUACGUUCCCUUCAAAUACAUUGAUCGUCCAAAAAAAGGGGGGCUCCAACCCCCCAGAACCCUCCCUCUGGAUCUGCCACUGAUGUAUUCUGCUAAUAUUGGAGACAGUGGGCAUGGACAUGAUGGAGUUAACUUGAUUUAAGAACUCAGACAUGCAAGAUAUCAUUUACUCAGAUAAUAGAAGUGGUUUUUGCCAUUUACCUUUUAUUCAAUAUGUAAUUGUCCCUAAAAUAUACACCCUUUCAAACCAUGACAACCAGACCAAACUAAAAAGAGUGAUAGGGUUUGCUACCACUGCUUAUAAGUAUUUUUAAUGUUUCUGCACAACAGAGGAAACUAAAAUUGGACAGACAAAGAUAUAGCUUGUAAACGCAAAAAUAUAAUGCCCAUAUUGAGAUGUAUGUAUAUCACACAGAAAAUAUACCGUACCAUUUUCAAAAUGAUGACCUUGGAUGUUUACAAUGUGUAAAAUAGUCAUGUGUAGUCAGGGUGAAGUUGAAAACAUUUCAUCAUCUCACCUUGAAGUUGACAACUUAUCUGCUCAUAAAGAGUGUUAGCUCUUUGAUUAAGAAAUCCCCAUUAUUUUAUAUAAAAUGGUCAAUAAAAUUUCCCUUUUCUAUCAUUUUAACCAUUAUGGGCAUUUAAAGCCUCCAUUACUUAUACCCUAGACCUGCCCCUGUUUUCUGUCUUUAUGUGAUUUAAGGUUUUUGAUUGGCCCACUGGUAUCUCUAAAUGAAUUACUGUGAAAUAUUACACCCAUUUUGACUUUAACUGUAGAAGGUUCUUGUAAAACAUAUUUCUAUUUUCACACUAUAUAUGUUAAACCAUUUCAAAUCAUUCACUACAUUUACACAAAAAAUUAGGGUUGAUGUUCUAUGCAUCAAAUAUAUAUACAAACUAUGUCCACAAAAAAACUAUCAUUAUGUUAAAUAAACAAUUCUGAAAC